AUUGAACGCUGGCGGCAUGCUUUACACAUGCAAGUCGAACGGUAACAGGCCGCCAGGUGCUGACGAGUGGCGCACGGGUGAGUAAUGCAUCGGAACGUGCCCAGUCGUGGGGGAUAACUACUCGAAAGAGUAGCUAAUACCGCAUACGAUCUAUGGAUGAAAUCGGGGGACCGUAAGGCCUCGCGCGAUUGGAUCGGCCGAUGUCAGAUUAGGUAGUUGGUGGGGUAAAGGCUCACCAAGCCAACGAUCUGUAGCUGGUCUGAGAGGACAACCAGCCACACUGGGACUGAGACACGGCCCAGACUCCUACGGGAGGCAGCAGUGGGGAAUUUUGGACAAUGGGCGCAAGCAUGAUCCAGCAAUGCCGCGUGCAGGAAGAAGGCCUUCGGGUUGUAAACUGCUUUUGUACGGAACGAAACGGCUCUGGUUAAUACCCGGGGCUAAUGACGGUACCGUAAGAAUAAGCACCGGCUAACUACGUG
This 482-nucleotide ribosomal RNA is filed under the name uncultured bacterium. RNAcentral's name for it is "partial 16S ribosomal RNA". It matches the Rfam family "Bacterial small subunit ribosomal RNA", at positions 30 to 507 of the family's 1533-position model. The record is from RNAcentral.